RNAcentral lists this long non-coding RNA (1020 nucleotides) under Sarcophilus harrisii (Tasmanian devil). Its description in RNAcentral is "lncRNA (ENSSHAG00000020780.1)". Lineage: Eukaryota; Metazoa; Chordata; Mammalia; Dasyuromorphia; Dasyuridae. The record is from RNAcentral.
UUGCUUUCUCUCAAAACGUUGCUGUCAUUUUUUCUUAUACUAUAGUAAUGUUUCAUAAUGUUGAUAUGUUGUAAUUUUUUCAGUCAUGAUAAAUAUAUUUUAUAUGUAUAUACAGAGAGAGAGAGAGAGGGGGGGGAGUAAAAAGGAAGGAAGGAAGGAGGGAAAGAGAGAUUAAAUAAUUACAAUGUGUGAGAUGUGUGAGGUACAGUGAUAAGUACUGAGGAUACAAUAAUAAUCAAGCCAAACAGUCUUUAUUUAAACAGGACAACAGAAGGGGAUGGGACAAUGCAACCUUACACAAGGAGAAAGAGGGAGAGAGUGAGAAAGAAGUAGAGGGGGGAGGGAAGGAGGGAGAGGAGAGAGAGAAACAGAGAGAGACAGAGAGACAGAGUAUGUUUGUUGGAGGUCAUCUAGUUUUAAUAAAGUUCUUUUUAAAAUUGGUUAGAUGACUUCUCAAUAUUGUUGCCUUUUUCUUCAACUGAUUAUUUUAGAGCUAGAUAUUCAUCAAAGCAGUCACCUUCUUGCCCUUUUUUAUUCUCAAAUUUCCUGGUAGUUGCAUUGAUCUGUAAUUGAAUUUGAAGAGGGUGAGGUGAGAGCCUUCUAAAAUUGAAAUGCUACAGAGAGGAAAGAGAUUUUGUUUUCAUAUUCUCAGAAUCUGUGCAAACAAUCAUUUGUAGGGAUGGAAGGGUAGAAAAUGAUUUUGUUUUGCUUUCCCUCCAUUAAUUUUAGAUGGAAACACUAACUUGUUUAUAACACUAAGUUGUAUAACACCUUAACAUGAAAGAGUUGAUCAAGAACUUUCCUAAGAACUGCUUUUGAUGGGAAUGGAAGUAGAAUGAUUAUGAAACCUUCAUAAAGAGGAAUCACAUAAGAAAAAGGACACAGAAAGGGGUGAUUCAGUGAAUGAAAGACAUGUUAAAGACACACUAAGCAGUUUGCCUUGAGCAACUCCCAAUUUUAAUGCCUUCUGACUGCAUAAAAUAAUUUACAUCAAGUAUUAUCUUUUACACAUUCUUUUAA